UACGUAGGGUGCGAGCGUUAAUCGGAAUUACUGGGCGUAAAGCGUGCGCAGGCGGUUGUGUAAGACAGAUGUGAAAUCCCCGGGCUCAACCUGGGAACUGCGUUUGUGACUGCACAACUAGAGUACGGCAGAGGGAGGUGGAAUUCCGCGUGUAGCAGUGAAAUGCGUAGAGAUGCGGAGGAACACCGAUGGCGAAGGCAGCCUCCUGGGCCAGUACUGACGCUCAUGCACGAAAGCGUGGGGAG
RNAcentral lists this ribosomal RNA (245 nucleotides) under uncultured Zoogloea sp. RNAcentral describes it as "partial 16S ribosomal RNA". It matches the Rfam family "Bacterial small subunit ribosomal RNA", at positions 524 to 768 of the family's 1533-position model. Lineage: Bacteria; Pseudomonadati; Pseudomonadota; Betaproteobacteria; Rhodocyclales; Zoogloeaceae. The record is from RNAcentral.